UGAGGAAUAUUGGUCAAUGGGCGAGAGCCUGAACCAGCCAAGUAGCGUGCAGGAUGACGGCCCUAUGGGUUGUAAACUGCUUUUAUGUGGGGAUAAAGUGCGUGACGUGUCAUGCAUUGCAGGUACCACAUGAAUAAGGACCGGCUAAUUCCGUGCCAGCAGCCGCGGUAAUACGGAAGGUCCGGGCGUUAUCCGGAUUUAUUGGGUUUAAAGGGAGCGUAGGCUGUCUAUUAAGCGUGUUGUGAAAUAUACCGGCUCAACCGGUGGCUUGCAGCGCGAACUUGUCGACUUGAGUAUGCAGGAAGUAGGCGGAAUUCAUGGUGUAGCGGUGAAAUGCUUAGAUAUCAUGACGAACUCCGAUUGCGCAGGCAGCUUACUGUAGCAUAACUGACGCUGAUGCUCGAAAGUGCGGGUAUCAAACAGG
RNAcentral lists this ribosomal RNA (424 nucleotides) under Fusobacteriota bacterium. RNAcentral's name for it is "Fusobacteria bacterium partial 16S ribosomal RNA". It matches the Rfam family "Bacterial small subunit ribosomal RNA", at positions 355 to 776 of the family's 1533-position model. Lineage: Bacteria; Fusobacteriati; Fusobacteriota. The record is from RNAcentral.